RNAcentral lists this ribosomal RNA (370 nucleotides) under uncultured organism. Its description in RNAcentral is "bacterial SSU rRNA". It matches the Rfam family "Bacterial small subunit ribosomal RNA", at positions 526 to 896 of the family's 1533-position model. The record is from RNAcentral.
CGUGGGGCCGAAGCGUUGUUCGGAUUUACUGGGCGUAAAGGCGCGUAGGCGGCGAAUCGAGUCAGCUGUGAAAUCUCCGAGCUUAACUCGGAACGGUCAGCUGAUACUGUUUUGCUAGAGUGCAGAAAGGGCAACCGGAAUUCUUGGUGUAGCGGUGAAAUGCGUAGAUAUCAAGAGGAACACCUGAGGCGAAGGCGGGUUGCUAGGCUGACACUGACGCUGAAGCGCGAAAGCUAGGGUAGCAAACGGGAUUAGAUACCCCGGUAGUCCUAGCCCUAAACGAUGUAGGCUUGGUGUCUGGAGUUUUUAUCUCUGGGUGCCGUCGCUAACGCUUUUAGCAUACCGCCUGGGGAGUACGCACGCAAGUGUG